GCCUCCGUAGCUCAGGGGAUAGAGCGUUGGUUUCCGGUACCAGAAGUCGGGGGUUCGAAUCCCUCCGGGGGCA
This 73-nucleotide transfer RNA is filed under the name Microbacterium sp. RNAcentral's name for it is "tRNA-Arg". It matches the Rfam family "tRNA". From Rfam's summary of the family: Transfer RNA (tRNA) molecules are approximately 80 nucleotides in length. Their secondary structure includes four short double-helical elements and three loops (D, anti-codon, and T loops). RNAcentral also lists the same sequence under 22 other names. The record is from RNAcentral. Lineage: Bacteria; Bacillati; Actinomycetota; Actinomycetes; Micrococcales; Microbacteriaceae.